GUAGCAAUACAGGAAAAAGUCUAGUGGCGAACGGGUGCGUAACACGUGAGCAACCUGCCGUGAAGUGGGGGAUAGCUCGCCGAAAGGCGAAUUAAUACCGCAUGUGGCCAAGGAAGACAUCUUCCUGACGCCAAAGCCGGGGUAACCUGGCGCUUCUCGAGGGGCUCGCGGCCAAUCAGCUUGUUGGUGAGGUAACGGCUCACCAAGGCUAUGACGGGUAGCUGGUCUGAGAGGACGACCAGCCACACUGGAACUGAGACACGGUCCAGACACCUACGGGUGGCAGCAGUCGUGAAUUUUUCACAAUGGGGGAAACCCUGAUGGAGCGACGCCGCGUGGAGGAUGAAGGUUUUCGGAUUGUAAACUCCUGUCAUUAGAGAACAAGGCACAUGGUUUAACUGGCCGUGUGUUGAUAGUAUCUGAAGAGGAAGGACGGCUAACUCUGUGCCAGCAGCCGCGGUAAUACAGAGGUCUCAAGCGUUGUUCGGAUUCAUUGGGCGUAAAGGGUGCGUAGGUGGCGAGGUAAGUCGGAUGUGAAAUCUCCAAGCUCAACUUGGAAACUGCAUUCGAUACUGCUUUGCUAGAGGAUUGUAAAGGGCAUUGGAAUUCACGGUGUAGCAGUGAAAUGCGUAGAUAUCGUGAGGAAGACCAGUGGCGAAGGCGAAUGCCUGGGCAAUUCCUGACACUGAGGCACGAAGGC
This 700-nucleotide ribosomal RNA is filed under the name uncultured Verrucomicrobiota bacterium. Its description in RNAcentral is "bacterial SSU rRNA". It matches the Rfam family "Bacterial small subunit ribosomal RNA", at positions 76 to 760 of the family's 1533-position model. Lineage: Bacteria; Pseudomonadati; Verrucomicrobiota. The record is from RNAcentral.